This 450-nucleotide ribosomal RNA is filed under the name uncultured bacterium. RNAcentral describes it as "partial 16S ribosomal RNA". It matches the Rfam family "Bacterial small subunit ribosomal RNA", at positions 354 to 796 of the family's 1533-position model. The record is from RNAcentral.
GUGGGGAAUAUUGGACAAUGGGCGAAAGCCUGAUCCAGCCAUGCCGCGUGUGUGAAGAAGGUCUUCGGAUUGUAAAGCACUUUAAGUUGGGAGGAAGGGCAGUAAGUUAAUACCUUGCUGUUUUGACGUUACCGACAGAAUAAGCACCGGCUAACUUCGUGCCAGCAGCCGCGGUAAUACGAAGGGUGCAAGCGUUAAUCGGAAUUACUGGGCGUAAAGCGCGCGUAGGUGGUUUUGUAAGUUGGAGGUGAAAUCCCCGGGCUCAACCUGGGAACUGCCUACAAAACUAAUGAGCUAGAGUACGGUAGAGGGUAGUGGAAUUUCCUGUGUAGCGGUGAAAUGCGUAGAUAUAGGAAGGAACACCAGUGGCGAAGGCGACUACCUGGACUGAUACUGACACUGAGGUGCGAAAGCGUGGGGAGCAAACAGGAUUAGAUACCCCGGUAGUCC